CACGUAGGGGACGAGCGUUGUCCGGAAUCAUUGGGCGUAAAGAGCGUGUAGGCGGCCAGAUAAGUCCGCUGUGAAAUCUCGAGGCUCAACUUCGAGCUGUCGGUGGAAACUGUCUGGCUAGAGUCCGGAAGAGGAGAAUGGAAUUCCUGGUGUAGCGGUGAAAUGCGCAGAUAUCAGGAAGAACACCCGUGGCGAAGGCGGUUCUCUGGGACGGUACUGACGCUGAGACGCGAAAGCGUGGGGAGCGAACAGG
Molecule: ribosomal RNA, 253 nt
Filed under: uncultured bacterium
Lineage: Bacteria
Description: partial 16S ribosomal RNA
Rfam family: Bacterial small subunit ribosomal RNA
Source: RNAcentral